GUCGAGCGGAAACGAUCCUAGCUUGCUAGGAGGCGUCGAGCGGCGGACGGGUGAGUAAUGCAUAGGAAUCUGCCCGGUAGUGGGGGAUAACCUGGGGAAACCCAGGCUAAUACCGCAUACGCCCUACGGGGGAAAGCAGGGGAUCUUCGGACCUUGCGCUAUCGGAUGAGCCUAUGUCGGAUUAGCUAGUUGGUGAGGUAACGGCUCACCAAGGCUGCGAUCCGUAGCUGGUCUGAGAGGAUGAUCAGCCACAUCGGGACUGAGACACGGCCCGAACUCCUACGGGAGGCAGCAGUGGGGAAUAUUGGACAAUGGGCGAAAGCCUGAUCCAGCCAUGCCGCGUGUGUGAAGAAGGCCUUCGGGUUGUAAAGCACUUUCAGUGAGGAAGAAAGCCUUGAGGUUAAUACCCUCGAGGGAGGACAUCACUCACAGAAGAAGCACCGGCUAACUCCGUGCCAGCAGCCGCGGUAAUACGGAGGGUGCGAGCGUUAAUCGGAAUUACUGGGCGUAAAGCGCGCGUAGGCGGCUUGAUAAGCCGGUUGUGAAAGCCCCGGGCUCAACCUGGGAACGGCAUCCGGAACUGUCAGGCUAGAGUGCAGGAGAGGAAGGUAGAAUUCCCGGUGUAGCGGUGAAAUGCGUAGAGAUCGGGAGGAAUACCAGUGGCGAAGGCGGCCUUCUGGACUGACACUGACGCUGAGGUGCGAAAGCGUGGGUAGCAAACAGGAUUAGAUACCCUGGUAGUCCACGCCGUAAACGAUGUCGACUAGCCGUUGGGCUCCUUGAGAGCUUUGUGGCGCAGUUAACGCGAUAAGUCGACCGCCUGGGGAGUACGGCCGCAAGGUUAAGACUCAUAUGAAUUGACGGGGGCCCGCACAAGCGGUGGAGCAUGUGGUUUAAUUCGAUGCAACGCGAAGAACCUUACCUACCCUUGACGUCGAGAGAACUUUCCAGAGAUGGAUUGGUGCCUUCGGGAACUCUCAAACAGGUGCUGCAUGGCUGUCGUCAGCUCGUGUUGUGAAAUGUUGGGUUAAGUCCCGUAAC
RNAcentral lists this ribosomal RNA (1041 nucleotides) under uncultured bacterium. Its description in RNAcentral is "bacterial SSU rRNA". It matches the Rfam family "Bacterial small subunit ribosomal RNA", at positions 61 to 1093 of the family's 1533-position model. The record is from RNAcentral.